GACGAACGCUGGCGGCGUGCUUAACACAUGCAAGUCGAACGGAAAGGCCCUGCUUUUGUGGUGUUCUCGAUUGGCGAACGUGUGAGUAACACGUGAGUAACCUGCCCCUGACUUUGUGAUAACUUCUCGAAACUGGGGCUAAUACCGCAUAGCAUCUCCUGCUGCAUGUUGUGGGUUGGAAAGUUUCGGCGGUUGGGGAUGGACUCGCGGCUUAUCAGCUUGUUGGUGGGGUAGUGGCUUACCAAGGCUUUGACGGGUAGCCGGCCUGAGAGGGUGACCGGACACAAUGGGACUGAGAUACGGCCCAGACUCCUACGGGAGGCAGAAGUGGGGAAUAUUGCACAAUGGGCGGAAGCCUGAUGCAGCAACGCCGCGUGCGGGAUGACGGCCUUCGGGUUGUAAACCUCUUUCGACUGUGACGAAGCGUGAGUGACGGUAACGGGUAAAGAAGCACCGGCUAACUACGUG
This 468-nucleotide ribosomal RNA is filed under the name uncultured bacterium. RNAcentral describes it as "partial 16S ribosomal RNA". It matches the Rfam family "Bacterial small subunit ribosomal RNA", at positions 28 to 507 of the family's 1533-position model. The record is from RNAcentral.